RNAcentral lists this ribosomal RNA (233 nucleotides) under Oxyrrhis marina. RNAcentral describes it as "partial Bacterial small subunit ribosomal RNA". It matches the Rfam family "Bacterial small subunit ribosomal RNA", at positions 281 to 526 of the family's 1533-position model. The record is from RNAcentral. Lineage: Eukaryota; Dinophyceae; Oxyrrhinales; Oxyrrhinaceae.
CAGUAGCUGGUUUGAGAGGAUGAUCAGCCACACUGGGACUGAGACACGGCCCAGACUCCUACGGGAGGCAGCAGUGGGGAAUAUUGCACAAUGGGCGCAAGCCUGAUGCAGCAACGCCGCGUGAGGGACGACGGCCUUCGGGUUGUAAACCUCUUUCAGUACCGACGAAGCGCAAGUGACGGUAGGUACAGAAGAAGCACCGGCCAACUACGUGCCAGCAGCCGCGGUAAUAC